Molecule: non-coding RNA, 74 nt
Organism: Herpetosiphon aurantiacus DSM 785
Lineage: Bacteria; Bacillati; Chloroflexota; Chloroflexia; Herpetosiphonales; Herpetosiphonaceae
Source: Rfam
GGCGCAUUCGUCUAGCGGCCUAGGACGUCACCCUUUCAAGGUGAAGAUCACGGGUUCGAAUCCCGUAUGCGUCA